RNAcentral lists this ribosomal RNA (802 nucleotides) under uncultured bacterium. RNAcentral describes it as "bacterial SSU rRNA". It matches the Rfam family "Bacterial small subunit ribosomal RNA", at positions 10 to 808 of the family's 1533-position model. The record is from RNAcentral.
AGUUUGAUCCUGGCUCAGGACGAACGCUGGCGGCGUGCCUAACACAUGCAAGUCGAGCGGGGGUAUACACGAAGAAGUUUUCGGACGGAAUUGUAUAUACUUUAGCGGCGGACGGGUGAGUAACGCGUGAGCAACCUGCCUUUCACAGGGGGAUAAGGCGGCGAAAGCCGCUCUAAUACCGCAUGAGACCACAGUGGUGAUGCUACAGGGGUCAAAGGAGCAAUCCGGUGAAAGAUGGGCUCGCGUCCGAUUAGGUAGUUGGUGGGGUAAUGGCCCACCAAGCCCGUGAUCGGUAGCCGGCCUGAGAGGGUGAACGGCCACAUUGGAACUGAGACACGGUCCAAACUCCUACGGGAGGCAGCAGUGGGGAAUAUUGGGCAAUGGGGGGAACCCUGACCCAGCAACGCCGCGUGAGGGAAGAAGGUUUUCGGAUUGUAAACCUCUGUUCUUGGGGAAGAGUAGAAGACGGUACCCAAGGAGGAAGCCCCGGCUAACUACGUGCCAGCAGCCGCGGUAAUACGUAGGGGGCGAGCGUUGUCCGGAAUGAUUGGGCGUAAAGGGCGCGUAGGCGGCUUUGCAAGUCAGUAGUGGAAGUCCAUUUUUCAAGGAUGGAAGUGCUACAGAAACUGCGGAGCUUGAGUGCAGGAGAGGUUAUCGGAAUUCCCGGUGUAGCGGUGAAAUGCGUAGAGAUCGGGAGGAACACCAGUGGCGAAGGCGGGUAACUGGACUGCAACUGACGCUGAGGCGCGAAAGUGUGGGGAGCAAACAGGAUUAGAUACCCUGGUAGUCCACACUGUAAACG